UACAGAGGGUGCGAGCGUUAAUCGGAAUUACUGGGCGUAAAGCGCGUGUAGGCUGCUUGGAAAGUCGGAUGUGAAAGCCCUGGGCUUAACCCAGGAAGUGCACUCGAAACUUCCAAGCUCGAGUCCUGGAGAGGGUGGCGGAAUUCUCGGUGUAGAGGUGAAAUUCGUAGAUAUCGAGAGGAACACCGGUGGCGAAGGCGGCUACCUGGACAGUGACUGACGCUGAGACGCGAAAGCGUGGGGAGCAAACAGG
Molecule: ribosomal RNA, 253 nt
Filed under: uncultured bacterium
Lineage: Bacteria
Description: partial 16S ribosomal RNA
Rfam family: Bacterial small subunit ribosomal RNA
Source: RNAcentral